RNAcentral lists this ribosomal RNA (788 nucleotides) under uncultured soil bacterium. RNAcentral describes it as "bacterial SSU rRNA". It matches the Rfam family "Bacterial small subunit ribosomal RNA", at positions 8 to 815 of the family's 1533-position model. The record is from RNAcentral.
AGAGUUUGAUCCUGGCUCAGAAUGAACGUUGGCGGCGUGGAUUAGGCAUGCAAGUCGUACGGGCCGCAAGGCCAGUGGCGCAAGGGUGAGUAAUGCGACGGUAACCAACCCCAUGAUUGGGUAUAGCCGCGGGAAACUGCGGGUAAUCCCCAGCGACGUCCCGGGGGGGCAUCCCCCGGGGACCAAAGUUCCGGCGUCGUGGGACGGGCCGUCGUGGUAUUAGGUUGUUGGCGGGGUAACGGCCCACCAAGCCUGCGAUGCCUACCGGGCGUGCGAGCGUGGCCCGGCACACUGGGACUGAGACACUGCCCAGACUCCUACGGGAGGCUGCAGUCGAGAAUCUUCGGCAAUGGGCGCAAGCCUGACCGAGCGACGCCGCGUGGAGGAUGAAGGCCUUCGGGUUGUAAACUCCUGUCGAGGGGGAAGAAGGGCCGCAAGGCCUUGACUUAUCCCUGGAGGAAGCACGGGCUAAGUUCGUGCCAGCAGCCGCGGUAAGACGAACCGUGCGAACGUUAUUCGGAAUCACUGGGCUUAAAGCGCGUGUAGGCGGGACGGCACGUCGGUCGCUGAAAUCCCCCGGCUCAACCGGGGAACGGGCGCCGAUACGACCGUCCUGGAGGGACGUAGGGGGACCUGGAACUUCCGGUGGAGCGGUGAAAUGCGUUGAGAUCGGAAGGAACGCCCGUGGCGAAAGCGAGGUCCUGGACGUUUUCUGACGCUGAGACGCGAAAGCCAGGGGAGCGAACGGGAUUAGAUACCCCGGUAGUCCUGGCCGUAAACGAUGGGCA